This 161-nucleotide small nuclear RNA is filed under the name Helianthus annuus (common sunflower). RNAcentral describes it as "U1 spliceosomal RNA". It matches the Rfam family "U1 spliceosomal RNA". Rfam says of the family: U1 is a small nuclear RNA (snRNA) component of the spliceosome (involved in pre-mRNA splicing). Its 5' end forms complementary base pairs with the 5' splice junction, thus defining the 5' donor site of an intron. The record is from RNAcentral. Lineage: Eukaryota; Viridiplantae; Streptophyta; Magnoliopsida; Asterales; Asteraceae.
UCACUUACCUGGACGGGGUCAAUGGGCGAUCAAGAAGGUCCAUGGCCUAGGUUGGUGACCUCCAUUGCACUCAGGAGGGGUGCCCGCCUAAGGUCGGCCCAAGUGGCCGAGCCUACGUCAUAAUUUGUGGCAGUGGGGGCUUGCGUUCGCGCAGCCCCUGC